ACGAACGCUGGCGGCGUGCUUAACACAUGCAAGUCGAGCGGUAAGGCCUUUCGGGGUACACGAGCGGCGAACGGGUGAGUAACACGUGGGUGAUCUGCCCUGCACUUCGGGAUAAGCCUGGGAAACUGGGUCUAAUACCGGAUAUGACCUCCUAUCGCAUGGUGGGUGGUGGAAAGAUUUAUCGGUGCAGGAUGGGCCCGCGGCCUAUCAGCUUGUUGGUGGGGUAAUGGCCUACCAAGGCGACGACGGGUAGCCGACCUGAGAGGGUGACCGGCCACACUGGGACUGAGACACGGCCCAGACUCCUACGGGAGGUAGCAGUGGGGAAUAUUGCACAAUGGGCGAAAGCCUGAUGCAGCGACGCCGCGUGAGGGAUGACGGCCUUCGGGUUGUAAACCUCUUUCAGCAGGGACGAAGCGCAAGUGACGGUACCUGCAGAAGAAGCACCGGCUAACUACGUG
Molecule: ribosomal RNA, 461 nt
Filed under: uncultured bacterium
Lineage: Bacteria
Description: partial 16S ribosomal RNA
Rfam family: Bacterial small subunit ribosomal RNA
Source: RNAcentral